This 229-nucleotide unclassified non-coding RNA is filed under the name plant metagenome. Its description in RNAcentral is "partial contains small subunit ribosomal RNA, internal transcribed spacer 1, and 5.8S ribosomal RNA". The record is from RNAcentral.
UCUCCGUAGGUGAACCUGCGGAGGGAUCAUUACAGAGUUCAUGCCCUACUGGGUAUAUCUCCCACCCUAUGUUAUUAUUACUUUGUUGCUUUGGCGGGCCGUUAGGCUCCGGCCCGACUACCGGCCCCGGCUGGUAAGCGCCCGCCAGAGGACCCAAAACCCUGAAUAUUAGUGUCGUCUGAGUACUAUAUAAUAGUUAAAACUUUCAACAACGGAUCUCUUGGUUCUG